GAACUUCCGUUAAUUGAUUAUGACGUGCUUGCACUGAAUGAGAUUUUAACACGAAGUGAGUGGCGGACGGGUGAGUAACACGUGGGUAACCUGCCCAGAAGCAGGGGAUAACACCUGGAAACAGAUGCUAAUACCGUAUAACAGAGAAAACCGCCUGGUUUUCUUUUAAAAGAUGGCUCUGCUAUCACUUCUGGAUGGACCCGCGGCGCAUUAGCUAGUUGGUGAGGUAACGGCUCACCAAGGCGAUGAUGCGUAGCCGACCUGAGAGGGUAAUCGGCCACAUUGGGACUGAGACACGGCCCAGACUCCUACGGGAGGCAGCAGUAGGGAAUCUUCCACAAUGGACGCAAGUCUGAUGGAGCAACGCCGCGUGAGUGAAGAAGGGUUUCGGCUCGUAAAGCUCUGUUGUUAAAGAAGAACGUGGGUGAGAGUAACUGUUCACCCAGUGACGGUAUUUAACCAGAAAGCCACGGCUAACUACGUGCCAGCAGCCGCGGUAAUACGUAGGUGGCAAGCGUUAUCCGGAUUUAUUGGGCGUAAAGCGAGCGCAGGCGGUCUUUUAAGUCUAAUGUGAAAGCCUUCGGCUCAACCGAAGAAGUGCAUUGGAAACUGGGAGACUUGAGUGCAGAAGAGGACAGUGGAACUCCAUGUGUAGCGGUGAAAUGCGUAGAUAUAUGGAAGAACACCAGUGGCGAAGGCGGCUGUCUGGUCUGUAACU
RNAcentral lists this ribosomal RNA (718 nucleotides) under Pediococcus acidilactici. Its description in RNAcentral is "bacterial SSU rRNA". It matches the Rfam family "Bacterial small subunit ribosomal RNA", at positions 31 to 741 of the family's 1533-position model. Lineage: Bacteria; Bacillati; Bacillota; Bacilli; Lactobacillales; Lactobacillaceae. The record is from RNAcentral.